This 386-nucleotide ribosomal RNA is filed under the name uncultured bacterium. RNAcentral's name for it is "bacterial SSU rRNA". It matches the Rfam family "Bacterial small subunit ribosomal RNA", at positions 28 to 417 of the family's 1533-position model. The record is from RNAcentral.
GACGAACGCUGGCGGCGUGCUUAACACAUGCAAGUCGAACGAUGAAGCCCUUUCGGGGGUGGAUUAGUGGCGAACGGGUGAGUAACACGUGGGUAACCUGCCCUGUACCCUGGGAUAAGCCUUGGAAACGAGGUCUAAUACCGGAUAUGACCUGCUCUCGCAUGGGGGUGGUGGAAAGUUUUGGCGGUGCAGGAUGGACCCGCGGCCUAUCAGCUUGUUGGUGGGGUGAUGGCCUACCAAGGCGACGACGGGUAGCCGGCCUGAGAGGGCGACCGGCCACACUGGGACUGAGACACGGCCCAGACUCCUACGGGAGGCAGCAGUGGGGAAUAUUGCACAAUGGGCGAAAGCCUGAUGCAGCGACGCCGCGUGAGGGAUGACGGCCU